Molecule: ribosomal RNA, 253 nt
Filed under: uncultured bacterium
Lineage: Bacteria
Description: partial 16S ribosomal RNA
Rfam family: Bacterial small subunit ribosomal RNA
Source: RNAcentral
UACGGGGGGGGCAAGCGUUGUUCGGAAUUACUGGGCGUAAAGGGUUCGUAGGUGGCCAACUAAGUCAGACGUGAAAUCCCUCAGCUUAACUGGGGAACUGCGUCUGAGACUGGAGGGCUUGAGUGCAGGAGAGGAACGCGGAAUUCCAGGUGUAGCGGUGAAAUGCGUAGAUAUCUGGAGGAACACCGGUGGCGAAGGCGGCGUUCUGGACUGCAACUGACACUGAUGAACGAAAGCCAGGGGAGCAAACGGG